Non-coding RNA from Pelobates cultripes (western spadefoot toad), 333 nucleotides. NCBI's taxonomy places the organism in Eukaryota, Metazoa, Chordata, Amphibia, Anura, Pelobatidae. The record is from the annotation of a GenBank genome assembly.
CCAUAAAUGUCCUUAGAGACAACCGAAAAACUGGUAAUGGAGUAAUCCUUUACAUGAUGAGGAAAUAAGGAAGAAGAAUUACACUUACACUUUCUGGGAGUGUAAAUUAUUUAAUCUGUCUUCUACGCAACCGGUGAAGAGAAACACCAGACUUGGUUGUUUGAGUAGCCAUUUGGACUGUAUCAGUAACUACACUAGUGCUGAUUUCCUUUUUGUAUUCCUACAUACACAGGUGUAUACAGGCUAUAGCAAAUCAAAUAUGCUUACAUAUUCCAUACUGUCACGGGUGGCGGUAUGGUGACCGGGACCCCUGAGUGCCUGAUGAUGAUGAUG